RNAcentral lists this ribosomal RNA (439 nucleotides) under uncultured bacterium. RNAcentral describes it as "partial 16S ribosomal RNA". It matches the Rfam family "Bacterial small subunit ribosomal RNA", at positions 339 to 795 of the family's 1533-position model. The record is from RNAcentral.
CUACGGGAGGCACCAGUGAGGAAUAUUGCACAAUGGGGGGAACCCUGAUGCAGCAACGCCGCGUGGAGGAUGACGCAUUUCGGUGUGUAAACUCCUUUUAUAUGUCAAGAAAAUGACGGUAGCAUAUGAAUAAGCACCGGCUAAUUCCGUGCCAGCAGCCGCGGUAAUACGGAGGGUGCAAGCGUUACUCGGAAUCACUGGGCGUAAAGGACGCGUAGGCGGGUUGGAAAGUCAGGUGUGAAAUCCUACAGCUUAACUGUAGAACUGCACUUGAAACUUCUAAUCUAGAGUAUGGGAGGGGGAGAUGGAAUUAGUGGUGUAGGGGUAAAAUCCGUAGAUAUCACUAGGAAUACCUAAAGCGAAGGCGAUCUCCUGGAACAUUACUGACGCUAAGGCGUGAAAGCGUGGGGAGCAAACAGGAUUAGGUACCCUUGUAGUC